This 495-nucleotide ribosomal RNA is filed under the name uncultured bacterium. RNAcentral describes it as "partial 16S ribosomal RNA". It matches the Rfam family "Bacterial small subunit ribosomal RNA", at positions 39 to 507 of the family's 1533-position model. The record is from RNAcentral.
GGGGGGGGGGGGGGGGGGGGGGGGGGCGGGCGGGGAGGGGGGGGGGGGGGGAGCUGGCGCUUCGGGAGGAGGGGCGAACGGGUGGGUGACGCGUAGGUAGCCUGCCUGGUAGCGGGGGAUAACUAUUGGAAACGAUAGCUAAUACCGCAUGACAACAGUUAUUGCAUGAUAACUGUUUAAAAGGGGCAACUGCUCCACUACCAGAUGGACCUGCGUUGUAUUAGCUAGUUGGUGAGGUAACGGCUCACCAAGGCGACGAUACAUAGCCGACCUGAGAGGGUGAUCGGCCACACUGGGACUGGGACACGGCCCAGACUCCUACGGGAGGCAGCAGGAGGGAAUCUUCGGCAAUGGACGGAAGUCUGACCGAGCAACGCCGCGUGAGUGAAGAAGGUUUUCGGAUCGUAAAGCUCUGUUGUAAGAGAAGAACGAGUGUGAGAGUGGAAAGUUCACACUGUGACGGUAUCUUACCAGAAAGGGACGGCUAACUACGUG